GUGCUCGCUUCGGCAGCACAUAUACUAAAAUUGGAACGAUGCAGAGAAGAUUUGCCCCGGCGCAAGGAUGACACGCUAGUUAGUGAAACGUUCCAUAUUUAU
Small nuclear RNA from Leucoraja erinaceus (little skate), 102 nucleotides. The record is from RefSeq and is a predicted model, not a curated record. NCBI's taxonomy places the organism in Eukaryota, Metazoa, Chordata, Chondrichthyes, Rajiformes, Rajidae.